GGGGAGGUGAGCCAGAGUUAUUCAUGGCCUCGCAUGUUCUCCAGAUGCCAAUUACGGUUUAUAUGCUUGAUGACGAUGCGGGUGGUCUGAUUGCAAUUGCCGAGUACGGCCAAGAAUAUGGAAAGGAGGAUCCAAUUCGAGUUCUUUAUUAUGGUUUUGGCCACUAUGAUGCCUUGCAGAUGCCUGGAAAGAAGGGUCCAAAAUCAAGGCUAUAGCAUAGAAAAAGGAAGGGGAGGGGGUGAUUGCAAUUGCCGAGUACGGCCAAGAAUAUGGAAAGGAGGAUCCAAUUGGAGUUCUUUAUUAUGGUUUUGGCCACUAUGAUGCCUUGCAGAUGCCUGGAAAGAAGGGUCCAAAAUCAAGGCUAUAGCAUAGAAAAAGGAAGGGGGGGGGGGGGGGGGGGGGGGGGGGGGGGGGGAGGGGUUGGUUGGAUGGUGAGUUAAUACAUACUGGCUUUGGAUAUUCAUUCCAUAUUCCAUUAAUAUUUGAACACUCUCAAAGUUGCAGAUAUAACAGCAUCAAUGGAAUAUGAUUUACAAGCAAAGUGGAUUCUGUAAUAAACUGCAUACUAUACGAUGACUACUGAGACUUGUGAAACACCUCCUCCCCUCCAUGCCCCC
Phoenix dactylifera (date palm) is the source of this 617-nucleotide non-coding RNA. NCBI's taxonomy places the organism in Eukaryota, Viridiplantae, Streptophyta, Magnoliopsida, Arecales, Arecaceae. The record is from RefSeq and is a predicted model, not a curated record.